This 333-nucleotide ribosomal RNA is filed under the name uncultured Leptolinea sp. RNAcentral describes it as "bacterial SSU rRNA". It matches the Rfam family "Bacterial small subunit ribosomal RNA", at positions 1035 to 1382 of the family's 1533-position model. The record is from RNAcentral. Lineage: Bacteria; Bacillati; Chloroflexota; Anaerolineae; Anaerolineales; Anaerolineaceae.
CAGGUGCUGCAUGGCUGUCGUCAGCUCGUGUCGUGAGAUGUUCGGUUAAGUCCGCUAACGAGCGCAACCCUCGCUGUGUGUUAUAUGUGUCACACGGGACUGCCGGUCUUAAGCCGGAGGAAGGUGGGGAUGAUGUCAAGUCAGCAUGGCCUUUAUAUCCUGGGCUACACACACGCUACAAUGGCCAACACAAUAGGUUGCUAAGCCGCGAGGUGGCGCCAAUCCAUAAAGUUGGUCUCAGUUCAGAUUGUAGGCUGCAACCCGCCUGCAUGAAGAUGGAGUUGCUAGUAACCGCAGGUCAGCUAUACUGCGGUGAAUACGUUCCCGGGGCUU